This 490-nucleotide ribosomal RNA is filed under the name uncultured bacterium. Its description in RNAcentral is "partial 16S ribosomal RNA". It matches the Rfam family "Bacterial small subunit ribosomal RNA", at positions 30 to 507 of the family's 1533-position model. The record is from RNAcentral.
AUUGAACGCUGGCGGCAGGCCUAACACAUGCAAGUCGAACGGUAACAGGAAGAAGCUUGCUUCUUUGCUGACGAGUGGCGGACGGGUGAGUAAUGUCUGGGAAACUGCCUGAUGGAGGGGGAUAACUACUGGAAACGGUAGCUAAUACCGCAUAACGUCGCAAGACCAAAGAGGGGGACCUUCGGGCCUCUUGCCCUCGGAUGUGCCCAGAUGGGAUUAGCUAGUAGGUGGGGUAACGGCUCACCUAGGCGACGAUCCCUAGCUGGUCUGAGAGGAUGACCAGGCACAGUGGAACUGAGACACGGUCCAGACUCCUACGGGAGGCAGCAGUGGGGAAUAUUGCACAAUGGGCGCAAGCCUGAUGCAGCCAUGCCGCGUGUAUGAAGAAGGCCUUCGGGUUGUAAAGUACUUUCAGCGGGGAGGAAGGGAGUAAAGUUAAUACCUUUGCUCAUUGACGUUACCCGCAGAAGAAGCACCGGCUAACUCCGUG